Molecule: ribosomal RNA, 253 nt
Filed under: uncultured bacterium
Lineage: Bacteria
Description: partial 16S ribosomal RNA
Rfam family: Bacterial small subunit ribosomal RNA
Source: RNAcentral
UACGUAGGGCGCAAGCGUUAUCCGGAAUUAUUGGGCGUAAAGAGCUCGUAGGCGGUUUGUCGCGUCGGAUGUGAAAGCCCGGGGCUUAACUCCGGGUCUGCAUUCGAUACGGGCAGACUAGAGUGUGGUAGGGGAGACUGGAAUUCCUGGUGUAGCGGUGGAAUGCGCAGAUAUCAGGAGGAACACCGAUGGCGAAGGCAGGUCUCUGGGCCACUACUGACGCUGAGAAGCGAAAGCAUGGGGAGCGAACAGG